RNAcentral lists this long non-coding RNA (246 nucleotides) under Elaeis guineensis (African oil palm). Its description in RNAcentral is "long non-coding RNA (EGUI_LNC004438)". Lineage: Eukaryota; Viridiplantae; Streptophyta; Magnoliopsida; Arecales; Arecaceae. The record is from RNAcentral.
GGCUAAAGAUGACUGCAGACUUCUGAGUAUUGACCAACUAUCUCGAUGACUGACAUUAGGCCCUAAUAAUGGAGGCAAAGUGCUCCAUAUUUUAGAUCGAGGCACGUCAGUCAUCUGCAAAGAGAAGGUACGAGAAAGGCUGGGAACCAGGGGCAGGCCAAUAUGGCUCUAAGGCCUAUCCCUGAACCGCUACUCUCAAAGCCCUGAAUAAGGCAUCAGCGCAUAAAAUGAAUAGGUAGGGGGGAG